UACGUAGGGGGCAAGCGUUAUCCGGAUUUACUGGGUGUAAAGGGAGCGUAGGCGGCCGGCCAAGUCAGGCGUGAAAGCCCGGGGCCCAACCCCGGGACUGCGCUUGAGACUGGCCGGCUAGAGUACCGGAGAGGCAGGCGGAAUUCCUAGUGUAGCGGUGAAAUGCGUAGAUAUUAGGAGGAACACCAGUGGCGAAGGCGGCCUGCUGGACGGUGACUGACGCUGAGGCUCGAAAGCGUGGGGAGCAA
Molecule: ribosomal RNA, 248 nt
Filed under: uncultured Lachnospiraceae bacterium
Lineage: Bacteria; Bacillati; Bacillota; Clostridia; Lachnospirales; Lachnospiraceae
Description: partial 16S ribosomal RNA
Rfam family: Bacterial small subunit ribosomal RNA
Source: RNAcentral